GACGAACGCUGGCGGCGUGCUUAACACAUGCAAGUCGAACGGUAAGGCCCUUCGGGGUACACGAGUGGCGAACGGGUGAGUAACACGUGGGUGAUCUGCCCUGCACUUCGGGAUAAGCCUGGGAAACUGGGUCUAAUACCGGAUAGGACUCCGGACUGCAUGGUCUGGGGUGGAAAGCUUUUGCGGGGUGGGAUGGGCCCGCGGCCUAUCAGCUUGUUGGUGGGGUGAUGGCCUACCAAAGCGACGACGGGUAGCCGGCCUGAGAGGGUGACCGGAACACUGGGACUGAGAUACGGCCCAGACUCCUACGGGAGGCAGCAGUGGGGAAUAUUGCACAAUGGGCGCAAGCCUGAUGCAGCGACGCCGCGUGAGGGAUGACGGCCUUCGGGUUGUAAACCUCUUUCAGCAUCGACGAAGCGAAAGUGACGGUAGGUGCAGAAGAAGGACAGGCCAACUACGUGCCAGCAGCCGCCGUAA
This 477-nucleotide ribosomal RNA is filed under the name uncultured bacterium. RNAcentral's name for it is "partial 16S ribosomal RNA". It matches the Rfam family "Bacterial small subunit ribosomal RNA", at positions 28 to 523 of the family's 1533-position model. The record is from RNAcentral.